This is an unclassified non-coding RNA of Macaca fascicularis (crab-eating macaque), 117 nucleotides long. It matches the Rfam family "Metazoan signal recognition particle RNA". Rfam says of the family: The signal recognition particle (SRP) is a universally conserved ribonucleoprotein. It is involved in the co-translational targeting of proteins to membranes. The eukaryotic SRP consists of a 300-nucleotide 7S RNA and six proteins: SRPs 72, 68, 54, 19, 14, and 9. The record is from Ensembl. NCBI's taxonomy places the organism in Eukaryota, Metazoa, Chordata, Mammalia, Primates, Cercopithecidae.
GCCAGGUGUGGUGGCUCACACCUGUAAUCCCAGCACUUUGGGAGGCUGAGGUGGGUGGAUCACCUGAGGUCAGGAGUUCGACAUCAGCUUGACCAACAUGGUGAAACCCCGUCUCUA